RNAcentral lists this ribosomal RNA (1393 nucleotides) under Chiasmocleis shudikarensis (Guyana humming frog). Its description in RNAcentral is "partial 16S ribosomal RNA". It matches the Rfam family "Bacterial large subunit ribosomal RNA", at positions 364 to 2597 of the family's 2925-position model. Lineage: Eukaryota; Metazoa; Chordata; Amphibia; Anura; Microhylidae. The record is from RNAcentral.
GCUAAAAACUUAGCCAAUAAACCCAAUGCCUUCAACUAAUUAUACCAAAGUAACUAAAACAUUUUACCUUCACAGUACAGGCGAUAAAAAAGUGUCUAAGAGCUAUAAAAAUAGUACCGCAAGGGAAUAGUGAAAUAAAAAUGAAAUAAAUUUCAAGCACAAUAAAGCAGGGCUCUAACCCCGUACCUUUUGCAUCAUGGUUUAGUUAGCCAAAUCAAGCAUAAUGCAUUAAAGUUUGACUUCCCGAAACUUGGCGAGCUACUUCAAAACAGCCUUCUGGGGCCAACCCGUCUCUGUUGCAAAAGAGUGGGAAGAUUUUCAAGUAGCGGUAAUAGACCUAUCGAGCCAUGUGAUAGCUGGUUACUCAAGAAAAGGAUUUGAGUCCACCAAUAAGCUUCCACGCAAACAAUAAUGCAACAAUAAGCUUAAUAGACAUUCAAAUAAGGUACAGCCUAUUUGAAACAGGAAACAACCUAAUACACAGGGUAAUUUUAUUUUAGGUGCCUAAGUGGGCCUAAAAGCAGCCAACUUCUAAAAAGCGUUAAAGCUUUAUCACCAAACACAAUAAUCCCCUAAACAACAUAAAACCCUUAAUUUAUACUGAGUGAUUCUAUGACCACAUAGAAAACCUAAUGCUAAAACUAGUAACAAGAAUGCCUUCUCUUAAGUGUCAGUAUAAGCCAGUACCUUGGCACCUACCGCCAAUGAACACAAAGUGGAAACUUUCUCAGAAAAAUCCACUAACCAUAGCGUUAAUCUUACCCAAGCACACUUCAAGAAAGAUUAAAAAAAGAGGAAGGAACUCGGCAAAUCAUUAAUCCCGCCUGUUUACCAAAAACAUCGCCUCCUGAAAGAUUAUAGGAGGUCCAGCCUGCCCAGUGAUAAAAUUAAACGGCCGCGGUACCCUAACCGUGCGAAGGUAGCGCAAUCACUUGUUCUUUAAAUGAGGACUAGUAUGAACGGCAUCACGAGGAUUAUACUGUCUCCCUUCUUUAAUCAGUGAAACUGAUCCCCCCGUGAAGAAGCGGGAAUAAACAUAUAAGACGAGAAGACCCUAUGGAGCUUUAAACUUAACACCACUUAUCUAAAACACUUCAUAAUAAACAGAUAAGCUUGUGCGCGUUUUAGGUUGGGGUGACCGCGGAGUAAAAUUUAACCUCCACGUUGAAAGGCCUUUAUCCUUAUCCAAGAGCCACAUCUCCAAGAAUCAACAAAUUGACAUUUAUUGACCCAAAUUUUUUUUGAUCAACGAACCAAGUUACCCUAGGGAUAACAGCGCAAUCCAUUUCAAGAGCUCAUAUCGACAAAUGGGUUUACGACCUCGAUGUUGGAUCAGGGUAUCCCAGUGGUGCAGCCGCUACUAAAGGUUCGUUUGUUCAACGAUUAAAACCCU